RNAcentral lists this transfer RNA (86 nucleotides) under Microtrichalus sp. A00267. RNAcentral's name for it is "tRNA-Glu". The record is from RNAcentral. Lineage: Eukaryota; Metazoa; Arthropoda; Insecta; Coleoptera; Lycidae.
UAAAAAUGUAUUUAUAAAAUACAAUAUUUAAUUUUACAAUGAAAAUGUAAUGUUUUUAUUUAUUAAACUAUAUAAAUUUAAGAAAU